AUUCCAUGUGGUGGGCACUUUCUCAGCAUUUCCUUAUACCUUUCCCAAACAUCGUAUAAGGAUUCAAACUCAAACUGUGUAAAAGGAUGAGAUGUCGUUUCUAAACUU
Small nucleolar RNA from Dioscorea cayenensis subsp. rotundata (Guinea yam), 108 nucleotides. The record is from RefSeq and is a predicted model, not a curated record. Lineage: Eukaryota; Viridiplantae; Streptophyta; Magnoliopsida; Dioscoreales; Dioscoreaceae.